GGGAGAGAGAGAGGAGAGGGAAAGAGAGAGGAGAGAGGAGAGGGAGAGAGAGAGGGAGAGAGAUGCUUUCUGUGAGCUUGAAGCAGUUUCCCUUCAAAGCCUGUUGCUAGCAUCCAUCUGCUUGUGUGUUGCUCCUUGGUGCUAGGUGUGUGCAGUGUACUUAGUCACUCCAGUCAUCGUCCAAGUCUUGCCUUGCAUGCUUCCCUCGUGAAGGAGGUAAUCUGCUUGCUCUCUCUCUCUCUCUCUCUCUCUCUCUCUCUCUCUCUCUCUCUCUCUCUCCU
This 281-nucleotide small RNA is filed under the name Marmota monax (woodchuck). The record is from RNAcentral. Lineage: Eukaryota; Metazoa; Chordata; Mammalia; Rodentia; Sciuridae.